GUGGGGAAUAUUGGACAAUGGGCGAAAGCCUGAUCCAGCCAUGCCGCGUGUGUGAAGAAGGUCUUCGGAUUGUAAAGCACUUUAAGUUGGGAGGAAGGGCAGUAAGUUAAUACCUUGCUGUUUUGACGUUACCGACAGAAUAAGCACCGGCUAACUUCGUGCCAGCAGCCGCGGUAAUACGAAGGGUGCAAGCGUUAAUCGGAAUUACUGGGCGUAAAGCGCGCGUAGGUGGUUUUGUAUGUUGGAGGUGAAAUCCCCGGGCUCAACAUGGGAACUGCCUGCAAGACUGCAUGACUAGAGUACGGUAGAGGGUAGUGGAAUUUCCUGUGUAGCGGUGAAAUGCGUAGAUAUAGGAAGGAACACCAGUGGCGAAGGCGACUACCUGGACUGAUACUGACACUGAGGUGCGAAAGCGUGGGGAGCAAACAGGAUUAGAAACCCCAGUAGUCC
This 450-nucleotide ribosomal RNA is filed under the name uncultured bacterium. Its description in RNAcentral is "bacterial SSU rRNA". It matches the Rfam family "Bacterial small subunit ribosomal RNA", at positions 354 to 796 of the family's 1533-position model. The record is from RNAcentral.